RNAcentral lists this transfer RNA (71 nucleotides) under Bos taurus (domestic cattle). It matches the Rfam family "tRNA". From Rfam's summary of the family: Transfer RNA (tRNA) molecules are approximately 80 nucleotides in length. Their secondary structure includes four short double-helical elements and three loops (D, anti-codon, and T loops). Further hydrogen bonds mediate the characteristic L-shaped molecular structure. tRNAs have two regions of fundamental functional importance: the anti-codon, which is responsible for specific mRNA codon recognition, and the 3' end, to which the tRNAs corresponding amino acid is attached (by aminoacyl-tRNA synthetases). tRNAs cope with the degeneracy of the genetic code in two manners: having more than one tRNA (with a specific anti-codon) for a particular amino acid; and 'wobble' base-pairing, i.e. permitting non-standard base-pairing at the 3rd anti-codon position. The record is from Rfam by way of RNAcentral. RNAcentral also lists the same sequence under 2 other names. Lineage: Eukaryota; Metazoa; Chordata; Mammalia; Artiodactyla; Bovidae.
UCCCUGGUGGCUUAGUGGUAAAGAAUCUGCUUGCAAUGCAGGAGACCUGGGUUUGAUCCCUGAGUUGGGAA